GACGAACGCUGGCGGCGUGCCUAAUACAUGCAAGUCGAGCGAAUUUAUGGGAGCUUGCUCCCGUAAGUUAGCGGCGGACGGGUGAGUAACACGUGGGCAACCUGCCUAUAAGACUGGGAUAACUUCGGGAAACCGGAGCUAAUACCGGAUAAUUCCUUUCCUUACAUGAGGAAAGGCUGAAAGACGGUUUACGCUGUCACUUAUAGAUGGGCCCGCGGCGCAUUAGCUAGUUGGUGAGGUAACGGCUCACCAAGGCGACGAUGCGUAGCCGACCUGAGAGGGUGAUCGGCCACACUGGGACUGAGACACGGCCCAGACUCCUACGGGUGGCUG
Molecule: ribosomal RNA, 333 nt
Filed under: uncultured Bacillota bacterium
Lineage: Bacteria; Bacillati; Bacillota
Description: bacterial SSU rRNA
Rfam family: Bacterial small subunit ribosomal RNA
Source: RNAcentral